UUACAAAACAUUAGCUAUACAACAAUGAAUAUAAAUUUUAUAGGGAGAUCCUGAAAUGAGAGAAGAUCCUGAAUUCCCUAAGGCAAUGAUGGAAGAAAUAUUAGCUACGAACACCUCAAUCGAUGGGGGGACUUUACAAGGUACUUAUGUCUUUUAUCCAAACAAAACAAAACCUAAAAUGUGGAUUGGAAAUUAUAAAGUUGUUAAUCCUGAAGACAUUAUCUGCAAAACUGUAGCAGAAAAAAUAGGACUAACUGAGGAAGAAUGGAGAAAUUAUAUAAAGAAUAAGCAAAUAAAUGAGAAAGGAGAUGAUAAAACAAAAGUAAAUGCUAAUUUUGAUGAAAUAACUUGCGAAAUACCUAUAGAAUUAAAGGAAAAUUUAGAAAAAGCAAAUAUCGAUUAUGUAACUAUGGAAAACAACAAUAUACCAUAUUACGACGAAAGUGAGUUCAUACAAGACCCAGACAUUUUGAAUAAAAUAUAUAACAGCUUGAAUAAUUCUAAUUUGGAAAAUUUACAUGAAGAUAGUUAUUUAAUGAAUGGCUAUACUGUUGAUAAGAGUUUAUAUUUGGAUAAUGCAGCAAACGAAGAGGAAGAUGAAGAAACGGUCAAUCAAGAAGAGAUCGAAGUAGAAAGUGAAAAAAAACAAAUGAAGUAAAGGAAAAUGCUAAAAUAGUAAAAAAGAUGAGUAAAAGCAGUAGUUAUGUUAAUAAAUUAAAUAAAUUAACAAAAAACUGUGAAUGU
This 744-nucleotide long non-coding RNA is filed under the name Piliocolobus tephrosceles (Ugandan red Colobus). RNAcentral describes it as "lncRNA (ENSPTEG00000012890.1)". The record is from RNAcentral. Lineage: Eukaryota; Metazoa; Chordata; Mammalia; Primates; Cercopithecidae.